Molecule: ribosomal RNA, 244 nt
Filed under: uncultured bacterium
Lineage: Bacteria
Description: partial 16S ribosomal RNA
Rfam family: Bacterial small subunit ribosomal RNA
Source: RNAcentral
UGGCGACCGGCGCACGGGUGAGUAACACGUAUCCAACCUGCCGAUGACUCGGGGAUAGCCUUUCGAAAGAAAGAUUAAUACCCGAUGGCAUAGUUCUUCCGCAUGGUAGAACUAUUAAAGAAUUUCGGUCAUCGAUGGGGAUGCGUUCCAUUAGGUUGUUGGCGGGGUAACGGCUCACCAAGCCUUCGAUGGAUAGGGGUUCUGAGAGGAAGGUCCCCCACAUUGGAACUGAGACACGGUCCAA